Molecule: long non-coding RNA, 361 nt
Organism: Topomyia yanbarensis
Lineage: Eukaryota; Metazoa; Arthropoda; Insecta; Diptera; Culicidae
Exons: 3
Source: RefSeq, a predicted model, not a curated record
GUUGUUAAUGAGGCUGAGUGCUAUUGUGCACAAGUUCCCAUUUUAAUUUGCACGAUGAACUCAACAGUAGAUAGUGCUGGUGGAGCUGGAAAGAGAAAGAAAAUCCGAACAACAUAACAGAAGCAUAAAGUACAAAACGAUUCAACACUCCCCGUCUCCAGUUGAACCCCCGUGCGUCGCUGUGAACUGCGAGUUCGGGUGGGUGCCGCUGCUGCCUGGCUGCUGAUAGAGGAAAAUCUACUCCCAGCGCUGGGACCCAGGUGUACCAGCAUUAAAAAAAUCGGCAGCCGUUUACCGGGGAGCCAGUGCUGCUAGCAAAGUAAACAAUGUUUCAUGUCGGAUCAAAAUGUUUGUUUAUACU